Molecule: transfer RNA, 71 nt
Filed under: bacterium
Lineage: Bacteria
Also listed under: 1 other name
Description: tRNA-His
Rfam family: tRNA
About the family: Transfer RNA (tRNA) molecules are approximately 80 nucleotides in length. Their secondary structure includes four short double-helical elements and three loops (D, anti-codon, and T loops).
Source: RNAcentral
GUGGCUAUGGUGUAGCGGUAGCACAUGAGCUUGUGGAGCUCCUUGUCUGGGUUCAACUCCCAGUAGCCACC